RNAcentral lists this transfer RNA (68 nucleotides) under Stenamma diecki. RNAcentral's name for it is "tRNA-His". Lineage: Eukaryota; Metazoa; Arthropoda; Insecta; Hymenoptera; Formicidae. The record is from RNAcentral.
AUUUAAGUAGUUUAAGUAUAAAACAAUAAUUUGUGGGGUUAGAGAUAUAUUAAAUAAUAUCUUAAGUU